CUCCUACGGGAGGCAGCAGUGGGGAAUAUUGCACAAUGGGCGAAAGCCUGAUGCAGCAACGCCGCGUGAGCGAUGAAGGCCCUUGGGUCGUAAAGCUCUGUCCUAUGGGAAGAAAAAAAUGACGGUACCAUUGGAGGAAGCCCCGGCUAACUACGUGCCAGCAGCCGCGGUAAUA
This 175-nucleotide ribosomal RNA is filed under the name uncultured bacterium. RNAcentral's name for it is "partial 16S ribosomal RNA". It matches the Rfam family "Bacterial small subunit ribosomal RNA", at positions 336 to 525 of the family's 1533-position model. The record is from RNAcentral.